Molecule: ribosomal RNA, 253 nt
Filed under: uncultured bacterium
Lineage: Bacteria
Description: partial 16S ribosomal RNA
Rfam family: Bacterial small subunit ribosomal RNA
Source: RNAcentral
UACGUAGAUGGCAAGCGUUGUCCGGAAUUAUUGGGCGUAAAGCGCGCGCAGGCGGUCUUUUAAGUCUGAUGUGAAAGCCCACGGCUCAACCGUGGAGGGUCAUUGGAAACUGGGGGACUUGAGUGCAGGAGAGAAGAGUGGAAUUCCACGUGUAGCGGUGAAAUGCGUAGAGAUGUGGAGGAACACCAGUGGCGAAGGCGACUCUUUGGCCUGUAACUGACGCUGAGGCGCGAAAGCGUGGGGAGCAAACAGG